AUCGAACGCUGGCGGCAGGCCUAACACAUGCAAGUCGAACGAGUGGCGGACGGGUGAGUAAUGUCUGGGAAACUGCCUGAUGGAGGGGGCUAACUACUGGAAACGGUAGCUAAUACCGCAUACCAUCGGAUGUGCCCAGAUGGGAUUAGCUAGUAGGUGGGGUAACGGCUCACAUAGGCGACGAUCCCUAGCUGGUCUACGAGGCAGACCGGCCACACGGGAACUGAGACACGGUCCAGACUCCUACGGGAGGCAGCAGUGGGGAAUAUUGCACAAUGGGCGAAAGCCUGAUGCAGCCAUGCCGCGUGUAUGAAGAAGGCCUUCGGGUUGUAAAGUACUUUGAGCGGGGAGGCGUUACCCAAAGAGAAAGCAACGGCUAACUCCGUGCCAGCAGCCGCGGUAAUUC
This 406-nucleotide ribosomal RNA is filed under the name uncultured bacterium. RNAcentral's name for it is "partial 16S ribosomal RNA". It matches the Rfam family "Bacterial small subunit ribosomal RNA", at positions 30 to 526 of the family's 1533-position model. The record is from RNAcentral.